Molecule: ribosomal RNA, 473 nt
Filed under: uncultured organism
Description: partial 16S ribosomal RNA
Rfam family: Bacterial small subunit ribosomal RNA
Source: RNAcentral
ACACUCCUGCGGGAGGCAGCAGUGGGGAAUAUUGCACAAUGGGCGCAAGCCUGAUGCAGCCAUGCCGCGUGUAUGAAGAAGGCCUUCGGGUUGUAAAGUACUUUCAGCGGGGAGGAAGGCAAUACGGUUAAUAACCGUGUUGAUUGACGUUACCCGCAGAAGAAGCACCGGCUAACUCCGUGACAGCAGCCGCGGUAAUACGGAGGGUGCAAGCGUUAAUCGGAAUUACUGGGCGUAAAGCGCACGCAGGCGGUCUGUCAAGUCGGAUGUGAAAUCCCCGGGCUCAACCUGGGAACUGCAUUCGAAACUGGCAGGCUUGAGUCUUGUAGAGGGGGGUAGAAUUCCAGGUGUAGCGGUGAAAUGCGUAGAGAUCUGGAGGAAUACCGGUGGCGAAGGCGGCCCCCUGGACAAAGACUGACGCUCAGGUGCGAAAGCGUGGGGAGCAAACAGGAUUAGAAACCCCAGUAGUCCCA